This 468-nucleotide ribosomal RNA is filed under the name uncultured bacterium. RNAcentral describes it as "partial 16S ribosomal RNA". It matches the Rfam family "Bacterial small subunit ribosomal RNA", at positions 28 to 507 of the family's 1533-position model. The record is from RNAcentral.
GACGAACGCUGGCGGCGUGCUUAACACAUGCAAGUCGAACGGAAAGGCGCUGCCUUUGUGGGGUGCUCGAGUGGCGAACGGGUGAGUAACACGUGAGUAACCUGCCCUUGACUUUGGGAUAACUUCAGGAAACUGGGGCGAAUACCGGAUAGGAGCUCCUGCUGCAUGGUGGGGGUUGGAAAGUUUCGGCGGUUGGGGAUGGACUCGGGGGUUAUCAGCUUGUUGGGGGGGUAGUGGCUUACCAAGGCUUUGACGGGUAGCCGGCCUGAGAGGGUGACCGGCCACAUUGGGACUGAGAUACGGCCCAGACUCCUACGGGAGGCAGCAGUGGGGAAUAUUGCGCAAUGGGCGGAAGCCUGAUGCGGCAACGCCGCGUGCGGGAUGAAGGCCUUCGGGUUGUGAACCGCUUUCGCCUGUGACGAAGCGUGAGUGACGGUAAUGGGUAAAGAAGCACCGGCUAACUACGUG